AUCAUGGAGAGUUUGAUCCUGGCUCAGAACGAACGCUGGCGGCGCGUUUUAAGCAUGCAAGUCGAACGGUAGAGAUCCUUCGGGGUCUUGAGAGUGGCGAACGGGUGAGUAACACGUAGAUGAUCUGCCUUGAAGUUGGGGAUAGCCCAUAGAAAUAUGGGGUAAUACCGGAUAAUCUCUUUUUACUUUGGUGAAUAGAGGAAAGGGGCUUCGGCCUCGCUUUAAGAUGAGUCUGCGGCUGAUUAGCUAGUUGGUAGGGUAAAGGCCUACCAAGGCGACGAUCAGUAGCCGGCCUGAGAGGGUGACCGGCCACAUUGGGACUGAGACACGGCCCAAACUCCUACGGGAGGCAGCAGCUAAGAAUCUUCCGCAAUGGGCGCAAGCCUGACGGAGCGACGCCGCGUGGACGAAGAAUGCCGAGAGGUUGUAAAGUCCUUUUAUUUGCGAAGAAUAAUAACCGUAGGUAAUGACGGUUAGAUGACGUUAGCUUAUGAAUAAGCUCCGGCCAAUUACGUGCCAGCAGCCGCGGUAACACGUAAGGAGCGAGCGUUGUUCGGAAUUAUUGGGCGU
This 570-nucleotide ribosomal RNA is filed under the name Spirochaeta isovalerica. RNAcentral's name for it is "Bacterial small subunit ribosomal RNA". It matches the Rfam family "Bacterial small subunit ribosomal RNA", at positions 1 to 561 of the family's 1533-position model. Lineage: Bacteria; Pseudomonadati; Spirochaetota; Spirochaetia; Spirochaetales; Spirochaetaceae. The record is from Rfam by way of RNAcentral.